UGGGACCGCUGGCCUGGGCUGAGCUGAGCUUUCUGCUUUUCCUGGGAGACGGAGAGGAGCCCAAUUCACUUUCUGUAUGGUCCUGUCCUUCAUUCCAGUUUAUAAGGGUGAAUGAGGCAAGGAGUACCAUCAAUUAUAGUGUCCUUGAGGAUGGGGAACUUCAUCUUUUUCAUGUUAUACAAAGUCCUGUCUGAACGGCAAGAAAAGAGCCAAGCUUCCAACCAAGAGAGAAGGAGCAGAGGACUGGUCUCCUUUUUUUGAUUUCAGGAAGUCACUGAAGUCUUGUGUGGCCCCAUAUGGCGACCCCUCCUCCCCGAGCCUGCCCUGGUACCUAUACUCCCAGCCCUUUCAAUCACUUUUUUAUAUUAAGGUAUUAUGUCCAAGAGGAUUGUACUACCGUGCACGUUCCCGUCCCAGUGUGAUGGUUCACUAUCUGAGCACAAAAUGGGUGUUCAACAUCUGUUUGUUGGAUGGAUAAAUUCAAGAGGAGAUGCAUGGUAACACAAGGUAGGUAAGCUUGGCUGGAAGGAGAGAAAGAGGGGGAAAGGGCUGAGGGCUGAGGUUGUGAAAGAAACGUUAGAGCAGGAGGGUCUGCUUUGGGAAAUAGGAGACCGGACUAAGAGAUCCGAAAUGAAGGGGAGUGGUAUUAGAGGAAAGGGAGGAGGUCCUGAAGUCAAUAUCCACUUCCUUCCCCAUUUUUCCCAGGACCAGCCCUGGCUCUGGUUGAUUUUUAAACAAAGUACGUUGACAGCAAUAAAUAUCAAAGGCUGUCUGUACCCUAAUGAAAACAGGAGGCAAGGAGGAAAAGUUAGUUGGUUGUGAUUCACCACAGCUCAUAAAUAAUCCCACAGGCCCUACUUCUGGCCCUCUGCCAUUCCUGGGGCCAGGGAACUGAGGAGCCACGGAAUCUUUCUGACUGCUGAUUUAAUUAAGUGUGGCUCGUCUGUGACGGCGCCCAGCUCGGCUCAAAGCCAAAGGAACAGGUGAAUUGGCCGUGUCAUUGAUGGGCAGGUCAGGCUUCUUGUUCGACCAAAUCAACCAGUCAUUCGGGAGAUCUGAAGACUUCUGGACAGCAGUUGACUCUGCCACAGUGUUGGAAAACAUCGGUGAUUUGGUUAAAACCUAUCACGAUAGUGACAAACAUACUGCUCAAGUGGGUCCAUGUGACAGUCUGUAGCUGCCACUUCAGUGAAACCAAGUUUUGACAUUAUAUAGUCAAAGCCAUGUUUGAUUGACUGAUUUUUUUUUUUUUUUCUUUCACCUGGUCGUUGUGGACGUAAAGCUGACACAGCAGAGGGGGCAGUGUGGAGACAGUUGGCAUGUUUCCUUCAUGUAGUUUUCACCUUUACCAUCUGGAACUCGGGAAAGAUGUCUUUCCUUCCACCAGCACCACCCACCUUCUCCGCACGGAGGUCUACACCACGUUUACCCAGACAUCAGGAGCAGCUGUCUCAGGCAGAAGGCGGUGGGCUCCAGGUGGGCGCUCAGCGCGAGGGCAGGUGAGAUAAUGAGCAACAG
Molecule: long non-coding RNA, 1518 nt
Filed under: Lynx pardinus (Iberian lynx)
Lineage: Eukaryota; Metazoa; Chordata; Mammalia; Carnivora; Felidae
Source: RNAcentral